CCUACGGGAGGCAGCAGUGGGGAAUAUUGCGCAAUGGGCGAAAGCCUGACGCAGCGACGCCGCGUGAGGGAUGAAGGUCUUCUGAUCGUAAACCUCUGUCAGCAGGGAAGAACGGUCACUGUGCUAAUCAGCAGUGAAUUGACGGUACCUGCAAAGGCAGCACCGGCUAACUCCGUGCCAGCAGCCGCGGUAAUACGGAGGGUGCGAGCGUUAAUCGGAAUUACUGGGCGUAAAGCGCUCGUAGGCGGUAUGUCAAGUCAAGUGUGAAAUCCCCGCGCUCAACGUGGGAACUGCCUUUGAAACUGGCAAACUGGAGUGUGUGAGAGGAUAGUGGAAUUCCAGGUGUAGGAGUGAAAUCCGUAGAUAUCUGGAGGAACAUCAGUGGCGAAGGCGACUAGCUGGAACAUAACUGACGCUGAUGAGCGAAAGCGUGGGUAGCAAACAGGAUUAGAUACCCUAGUAGUC
This 465-nucleotide ribosomal RNA is filed under the name uncultured bacterium. Its description in RNAcentral is "partial 16S ribosomal RNA". It matches the Rfam family "Bacterial small subunit ribosomal RNA", at positions 338 to 795 of the family's 1533-position model. The record is from RNAcentral.